RNAcentral lists this ribosomal RNA (489 nucleotides) under uncultured bacterium. RNAcentral describes it as "partial 16S ribosomal RNA". It matches the Rfam family "Bacterial small subunit ribosomal RNA", at positions 28 to 506 of the family's 1533-position model. The record is from RNAcentral.
GAUGAACGCUAGCUACAGGCUUAACACAUGCAAGUCGAGGGGAAACGAUGAGAGAGCUUGCUCUCUUAGGCGUCGACCGGCGCACGGGUGAGUAACGCGUAUCCAACCUACCCAUUACAGGGGGAUAACCUUGCGAAAGUAAGACUAAUACCCCAUGGCAUUUUAUGGUGGCAUCAUUAUAGGAUUAAAGAUUUAUUGGUAAUGGAUGGGGAUGCGUCUGAUUAGCUUGUUGGCGGGGUAACGGCCCACCAAGGCAACGAUCAGUAGGGGUUCUGAGAGGAAGGUCCCCCACAUUGGAACUGAGACACGGUCCAAACUCCUACGGGAGGCAGCAGUGAGGAAUAUUGGGCAAUGGGCGAGAGCUUGAACCAGCCAAGUAGCGUGCAGGAUGACGGCCCUAUGGGUUGUAAACUGCUUUUAUAGGGGAAUAAAGUGAGCUACGUGUAGUUUAUUGCAUGUACCCUAGGAAUAAGGACCGGCUAAUUCCGU